This 954-nucleotide long non-coding RNA is filed under the name Gallus gallus (chicken). RNAcentral's name for it is "lncRNA (ENSGALG00010026348.1)". The record is from RNAcentral. Lineage: Eukaryota; Metazoa; Chordata; Aves; Galliformes; Phasianidae.
AAUUGCAAAAUGGAGUCUAUGGGCCUACUGAACAGGUUCUUCUAACCGAUCACACGUCCUUUAAAAUGAUCAUAAAAAAUAAGUGUGUGCUUCAUUUCCAUUUUGGAUUUGUCUGGCUUGACAGCUCUUUGAGUCUAUCACUGCGAGAUGCUUCCUUUGCACCUCGGACUACUUCUGUGGCUCUUUACAAGGACAACGUUCAUAUCAGAAUUCCAUGCAGUGCUGACUCCCGUCCUGGCUUUGCAUAAGGGUGGAAAUACCCUUCCUGGUGCUAUGUGCUGCCUUAGAGGACAGCAGGGGACCUCCAGCCAAACCCCCAUGUGACGGCCUGUUUUGAAGCAUUAUCCAGCAUGACCCCUCUGGCCUUCUCAAGGUCCUUUCCAGGAUUUUGCACUCCUGAUUCCCAUGUAAGGUUGCAUUCUACUGACUUCUCUAUGCCGUGGAGCAAGCUCAUUGUCCCUGACCAUGGAUAUAUUAGUAUGGGUGGAGUGCAUUGUACUCCGAUGAUACUUCUAUGCUAGCAAAUGCCUUUUUAAUACCAAUGUAAGUACUUACCACAGCUCUAGACCUUCCUGUUGUGGCAAAUAAUCUCCAUUUCUUAGGACUGCAUCUCUGUUGGAUCUCACUUUCCCCUGGCAUUUCCCUUUCCAUAGUCACACUGUGCCCCUUGUGGUGUGCUGUUUGGGAAUCUUCUGAGAAAAGGUGCUAUAUAAAUGCAAAACAUUGUCAUUGUUUGUCGUGGCACCCCCUGUUGUAUCUGCUUUCCUUCUGCUAAUUGAUUAGCUGUUGUCUAGACUGGAGCUCAUUACAUGGAGUGCUGAGGCUCAGCAUCAUUUACUUUGCAGCUAAGUCAAUCUGUGAAACAAGUGGUAGGCUCCGAAUUGGAUAAGGAACAGGUUCUUUAGAUGUAAAUGGCUUAGAAAGGGAAAAUAAAAGCUGAACUAGGUAAUGAAC